This 468-nucleotide ribosomal RNA is filed under the name uncultured bacterium. Its description in RNAcentral is "partial 16S ribosomal RNA". It matches the Rfam family "Bacterial small subunit ribosomal RNA", at positions 28 to 507 of the family's 1533-position model. The record is from RNAcentral.
GACGAACGCUGGCGGCGUGCUUAACACAUGCAAGUCGAACGGAAAGGCCCUGCUUUUGUGGGGUGCUCGAGUGGCGAACGGGUGAGUAACACGUGAGUAACCUGCCCUUGACUUUGGGAUAACUUCAGGAAACUGGGGCUUAUACCGGAUAGGAGCUCCUGCUGCAUGGUGGUGGUUGGAAAGUUUGGGCGGUUGGGGAUGGGCUCGCGGCUUAUCAGCUUGUUGGUGGGGUAGUGGCUUACCAAGGCUUUGACGGGUAGCCGGCCUGAGAGGGUGAACGGCCACAUUGGGACUGAGAUACGGCCCAGACUCCUACGGGAGGCAGCAGUGGGGAAUAUUGCACAAUGGGCGGAAGCCUGAUGCAGCAACGCCGCGUGCGGGAUGACGGCCUUCGGGUUGUAAACCGCUUUCGCCUGUGACGAAGCGUGAGUGACGGUAAUUGGUAAAGAAGCACCGGCUAACUACGUG